CACACACCACCUUACUCCGCUCACCACCGACUCCUCACUCUUUCUCCUACCUCGCGAUUUGCCCUAGCGGAGGAUCCCCUCACCUCCUCCCUCCUCCUCCUCCUCCUCCUCGAUCUCGACCUCUUCCUCCUCGAUCUCGACCUCUUCGGCGAGGCCAUGGGGGACAGAGUCGACUACGUGUUCAAGGUGGUGCUCAUCGGGGACUCGGCGGUGGGGAAGUCGCAGAUCCUGGCGCGGUUCGCGC
RNAcentral lists this long non-coding RNA (244 nucleotides) under Ananas comosus (pineapple). RNAcentral describes it as "long non-coding RNA (ACOM_LNC019279)". The record is from RNAcentral. Lineage: Eukaryota; Viridiplantae; Streptophyta; Magnoliopsida; Poales; Bromeliaceae.